AUUUGUCCGAUACAAAAGCAUAAUAACAUCACACAAUUGAAUUGAAAUACGUAACAUAGUAAUCAAGAAAUCAUUGGUUCAAAUUCAUAGCAUUCGAUAACAUCAGAACCACCCCCCUAGCAUCAGGGGGUUUAGCCUCUCAUAGUACUUAAAAAACUCAUAAAGUAAAGAUUAGACAUUACAAAGAAUUAGGAGAGAUUGAUCUUCAAUGGUUGAUGCCCUUGAAUCUCGC
Molecule: long non-coding RNA, 232 nt
Filed under: Lathyrus oleraceus (garden pea)
Lineage: Eukaryota; Viridiplantae; Streptophyta; Magnoliopsida; Fabales; Fabaceae
Description: Pisum sativum (pea) long non-coding RNA (PSAT_LNC035976)
Source: RNAcentral